GCAUAUCAAUAAGCGGAGGAAAAGAAACCAACCGGGAUUGCCUCAGUAACGGCGAGUGAAGCGGCAAGAGCUCAAAUUUGAAAUCUGGCCCCUCCGGGGUCCGAGUUGUAAUUUGCAGAGGAUGCUUCGGGUGCGGCCCCUGUCUAAGUGCCCUGGAACGGGCCGUCAGAGAGGGUGAGAAUCCCGUCUUGGGCAGGGUGCCCGUGCCCGUGUGAAGCUCCUUCGACGAGUCGAGUUGUUUGGGAAUGCAGCUCUAAAUGGGUGGUAAAUUUCAUCUAAAGCUAAAUACCGGCCGGAGACCGAUAGCGCACAAGUAGAGUGAUCGAAAGAUGAAAAGCACUUUGAAAAGAGAGUUAAACAGCACGUGAAAUUGUUGAAAGGGAAGCGCUUGCGACCAGACUCGGCCCCGGGGUUCAGCCAGCACUCGUGCUGGUGUACUUCCCCGGGGGCGGGCCAGCGUCGGUUUGGGCGGCCGGUCAAAGGCCCCAGGAAUGUGUCGCCCUCCGGGGCGUCUUAUAGCCUGGGGUGCAAUGCGGCCAGCCCGGACCGAGGAACGCGCUUCGGCACGGACGCUGGCGUAAUGGUCGCAAACGACCCGUCUUGAAACACGGACCAAGGAGUCUAACAUCUACGCGAGUGUUCGGGUGUCAAACCCGUACGCGCAGUGAAAGCGAACGGAGGUGGGAGCCCCGCAAGGGGCGCACCAUCGACCGAUCCUGAUGUCUUCGGAUGGAUUUGAGUAAGAGCGUAGCUGUGGGGACCCGAAAGAUGGUGAACUAUGCCUGAAUAGGGCGAAGCCAGAGGAAACUCUGGUGGAGGCUCGCAGCGGUUCUGACGUGCAAAUCGAUCGUCAAAUUUGGGUAUAGGGGCGAAAGACUAAUCGAACCAUCUGGUAGCUGGUUCCUGCCGA
This 910-nucleotide ribosomal RNA is filed under the name Aspergillus insuetus. Its description in RNAcentral is "LSU rRNA". It matches the Rfam family "Eukaryotic large subunit ribosomal RNA", at positions 38 to 964 of the family's 3401-position model. Lineage: Eukaryota; Fungi; Ascomycota; Eurotiomycetes; Eurotiales; Aspergillaceae. The record is from RNAcentral.